UACAGAGGUGGCAAGCGUUGUUCGGAAUUACUGGGCGUAAAGGGCGCGUAGGUGGCCUUCUUAGUCAGACGUGAAAUCCCCAGGCUUAACCUGGGAACUGCGUCUGAUACUGGAAGGCUCGAGUUCGGGAGAGGAAUGUGGAAUUCCAGGUGUAGCGGUGAAAUGCGUAGAUAUCUGGAGGAACAACGGUGGCGAAGGCGGCAUUCUGGACCGAAACUGACGCUGAGGCGCGAAAGCCAGGGGAGCAAACGGG
Molecule: ribosomal RNA, 253 nt
Filed under: uncultured bacterium
Lineage: Bacteria
Description: partial 16S ribosomal RNA
Rfam family: Bacterial small subunit ribosomal RNA
Source: RNAcentral